GACGAACGCUGGCGGCGUGCCUAACACAUGCAAGUCGAGCGGUCUCGCCUAUAGCAAAAGGCCUUCGGGCUUCGAGCAAAGGCGAGAUAGCGGCGGACGGGUGAGUAACGCGUGGCUUAUCUGUCCCAGGGAGGGGGAGUAACGUCUGGAAACGGGCGCUAAUACCCCACUAUGCCGGUGAGGUAAAAAGGAGAAAUCCGCCCUGGGGUGAGGCCGCGUCCUAUCAGCUAGUUGGUGAGGUAACGGCCCACCAAGGCUAUGACGGGUAGCCGGCCUGAGAGGGCGGCUGGCCACACUGGGAUUGAGAUACGGCCCAGACUCCUACGGGAGGCAGCAGUGGGGAAUAUUGGGCAAUGGGGGAAACCCUGACCCAGCGACGCCGCGUGGAGGAAGGAGCCCUUCGGGUGUAAACUCCUGUUGUAAGGGAAGAAGAUCUGACGGUACCUUACGAGGAAGCCCCGGCAAACUACGUG
RNAcentral lists this ribosomal RNA (473 nucleotides) under uncultured bacterium. Its description in RNAcentral is "bacterial SSU rRNA". It matches the Rfam family "Bacterial small subunit ribosomal RNA", at positions 28 to 507 of the family's 1533-position model. The record is from RNAcentral.